Molecule: ribosomal RNA, 253 nt
Filed under: uncultured bacterium
Lineage: Bacteria
Description: partial 16S ribosomal RNA
Rfam family: Bacterial small subunit ribosomal RNA
Source: RNAcentral
UACGUAGGGUGCGAGCGUUGUCCGGAAUUAUUGGGCGUAAAGAGCUUGUAGGCGGUCUGUCGCGUCUGCUGUGAAAAUCCGGGGCUCAACCCCGGACUUGCAGUGGGUACGGGCAGACUAGAGUGUGGUAGGGGAGACUGGAAUUCCUGGUGUAGCGGUGAAAUGCGCAGAUAUCAGGAGGAACACCGGUGGCGAAGGCGGGUCUCUGGGCCGAAACUGACGCUGAGGAGCGAAAGCGUGGGGAGCAAACAGG